CUCAUUCUGAGAACUGCAACUGAAAGCAGACCCAGCGGAAGAAGGAAGCGAGAUUUAUUUGCUGUAGAAAUGGGAGAGAGACAGUUGAUCUGCAAUCCUGAGAUUUCCUCAAGGCACCUUUCUGUACUGGAUCUUACAUAUUGUCUUCUCACAUCAUCUUAUGAAGAACACAAUGGGAGAAGCCCACUCUAGCUUUCCUAAACACUCAUCUGGGAUUCUGAAGACAGGAGGUCACAUACCCUGCUGGUCCAUCAGUCUUGGCUGCUACUGGUGGAUGGGCCUAGGAAGGUAGAACAGAGUUGUCUAUGGCCGUGAGGGGGCUAAUAUGUGCUCCUUCCCCCUUGAAUUUGAACUUGGAAUCAUCAGUCACUCACUGCAAUGUCUUCAAUGACUUUUGUUGAUAAAAUCUCUUGUAUUUGGGCCGAACUGGAUUCCACGGUUAGUGCAGAGACUAUUGUGGAUCUGUCUGUUCUGGAUGGGGUUACACUCCUCCUGAAAGAUCAGGAAUCUCUGAUGACUGCUAGAGUUUGAGACUUAUGCGAGGGCCAGCCAGCUUGUAUUGUGUGUUUCAAAGUGGUCACAGCCUCAUCUUGCUUACAUUGGUGCUUGAUCUUGGCAAGCUUGUUCAGAGAUACAGGAUAGCAUCGUUAUCAAGAAAAUGAAAAUGAUGGGUGGUAAUAAUCCUGCUGAAAAUGAAGUGCAGGUGCCUUUAAAUAAGAAUGGAAACCCACAAAAUGGAUCAGGCAAUCACUCCUUGGAGCAAAAGAGUCAACUUUGUGAUUCAACUAGUAUUACAGCAGAUAAUCAAAAUCUGAAAAAUCAAAAUCUGAAAAACAAGCAGUCCCAUCAAAGAGGCUUCAAUUGCUCCAAGAGAUUCAGACAAUGUUGUGUUGAUGGCAAUAUUGCAAAGCCCGUUUUCAUAGUCACUGCAAUAUUUGCUCUAUGUUCAGUGUGUUUCAACAUUAUUCUAAUUUGUGAGAAUGCAAAGCUAAAACAGUUGCAAGGUUGCACACAGCCACCAGUUGACACUUCAUGCCUCCAAGGCUGGGUUAGGAAUGAAGGGAUGUGCUUCUUUUUCUCCCAAACCGAAGGGACCUGGAACUCCAGCCAAAGCAAUUGUUCUUCAUCUGGUGGCUCCUUAGUGGCACUUGACACUCAACAGGAAAAGGAGUUUGUAGAGCACAAGAGAGACCUUGCUGAAUAUUGGAUUAACCUCAGGAGGGAAAAUGUAGAACAGUCCUGGAAAUGGCCAAAUGGUUCAUUUAUUCACAACUGGUUUACAAUUAAAGGUGAAGGAUUCUGCGCUUAUCUCAAUGAUGAUGUAAUCAGCUCAACAUACUGUGACCAGAAGCGCUACUGGAUAUGCAAGAAGCCUGCCUUGCCUACUUGAGAGAGAAGGUUUACUUUAAGUGGAGAUGUGAAGUCUCUGGAAGAAUGUCAUUUUGCGGUUCCCUUUUUCAUUCUUGAGUAAUGAAUUUCCAUGCAAAAAUAUGGUGGUUCAAUUUCAUUGGGUUCCAGUCUCAUAUCAGCCCAAUGAAUAGUAUCAGUUGUGGUUUAAGUGAAAGCACUGACUACAUAUGCCUCCCUAGUGAGAAUGAAAAUGUUUUGGCAUGAAUAAGAAUAUUGUGAGACUACAGAUGAAGAUACUGUCGGAAUUAUUAUAUAUUUUAAGAUGUAUAUCUUACACAGUAUACUCUUUUAAUAUAUUAAAGAUACUGAGGUUGUUCUCACAACCAGCACUACCCAGUUAGGGGAGCUGUAGCUCUGAUAGGGCUGGUCAUGAGAACCACUGCCAAUCCCGGCAUGCCACCAGGUAGCCUGGAUUUUGUACCAGGGCUAAAAGUGAGGUAUGAGGAUGCUAGGGAUGUGCAUGAACCAGUUUGCAGGCCAUGUUAGAGGCCUAUGAACCAGUUCGCUGGUCCGGCAGUCCAACGGACUGAUGCCAGGCGAGGUUGUACUUACCCUCCCGCCGCUUCCCCCCCUCCCGUGCUCCAUUUUCAAGCAAAAUCUUUGGAGUGGCAGCGGUCUUCCCUGCCGCCCCUGCCCCCUUGUUGCCUGCUAAAAGCGGAAGUAAGUUCCGCACAUGCACCUGCCGCCACGUGCGCGUCACGCAUGUCACUGUGAUGUGUGCGGCGUGUGUGCACGGCAGCGGCAGGCACAUGCACAGGAGUUACCUGCUAAAAGCAGAAGUAAGUUCCGCGCAUGCGCCCACCACCGCGCCCGUCACAGAUGUGACUGUGACGUGCACAGCGCACACAGCGGCGGAAGGCGUAUGUGCAGGUGUUACUUCUGCUUUUAGCAGGCAAUAAGGGGAUGGGCGGCAGGGAGGACUACUGCUGUCCCAAAGAUUUUGCUUGAAAAUGGAGCGCAGGAGGGGGGAAAGCAGUGGUUGGGGUAAUACAACCCCCCCUCAAAGCAACACACACACCCCGGCAUCGGACCGCACCUCCGCGGUCCGUGCACAUCCCUAGAGGACGCACAUGAACCGCCUACCUCAUUGCCCAGUUGUGUGGAAGCUCAGGCUGUCAGCAACCCGAGCUGCCAUGGAGCCAGAGGGGAGGAGUGGGCCCACAGUGGAGAAUCCCCCAAUGCACCCCACACCUCAUGCAGUACAUUGUGGGAUAUCGGAGGAUGCAGUCUGCUCCACCCCCAGCCCCCUUGCCUCUCCUUGUGGUGAUUGGCUAGUAAACACUGUCAAUCAGGAGGAGUUUGAAUUUAGAAAGCUCCUCUGGAAAGAAUUCCUAAGGAAGGGGAUUUGGAAUGGAGUGAACAGGUGCCUAUAAAAUUCAGUUGGAGUUAACUGACAGGCAGAUAGGGAAGGUUAGGGCUAGAGAUAGGGCCCCUCCCCCUCCCCAGGGCCCCUUCCCUGCUGGCAUUCUACCACUUUUAUUAGCUAUGGUUUUAUUAGCUAUUUAGAGUAUAUAGGUCUUGAAGCAAUGUACUGGGCGUAAUUGUCAGCUAAUUAAAGAUUUUUAGCUUUGUCCUGCAAGAAAAUUACAACAGCCGGGUAGUACUCACCUUCUUCUUGCACUGGGUCUCCUCUGUGAUGAAGUGGGGACCACUUGUGUGCUUCCCUACAGAGUUCCCCGCCAAUGUACCUCUAAACAUCUGUAAAACUCCUUCAAUAUCUGUUUGCAAACUCCAGUUAGCAAAGUUCCCCUGGUCUGAGUCUUGCAUUGAAGACCAGUAGGCAAACUGACUCUCCUCAGGAAUGUGACCCCUCCCACAAGCUUAGGCACUCACCUGGAAUAAAUCCCCCACACAGGCUACUCCUCUGUCAAAGACACAAAUGCUUCCAUCCAGCCAGAAAUCAAACCCUAGAAAAUCACCAGCCCUAACAAACAUAGCUUUUCCUUCUGUUACCUGUGAAUCCAAGCAUUUCAUAUUGAUUUAUAUGUAUUGAUCCUAGGGCAUGUAGUUAAUGGAGAACUGAGCUCUUGCUACACCAUUUUGAUGGUAGCUGAAGAGAGCAAGAGUCCUCUCCAACUUCUAUUUCUGAAUGUGGGAAAGAAUCUGCUUAGUAUGCUUUGGUUCUCAUACUAAGCAGACCUUGUAACUUGCAACAUAAUAUGUAUUCUCUAUGCCUUGCUUUGUUCUGGCCUGCUGGUCAGGAGAGGUGAUGAUGCUGGUAUCCGAACUGCCUCCUAGAGGCUGCGUAAGCACUCCUUUAACAAUGGUAGUAUUGUAAGCCUGUUGGCCUAAUAUGGAGUUGUAUUGCCAGACUACCUGGCUGGCUUGUUGUGAAUGAUGAUGUAUUCAGAUGUAUCAGUUGUUGUAUAAAAGCUUUGGAUGGACACCAUCUUGGGUCUGUCUUGUCUUUGGGAGCUAUCCCCUAGACGGCCACUUUGUUCACUCUGCAGAAUUCAAUAAAGCUUAUUUGAACUAUAAA
Molecule: RNA transcript, 3889 nt
Organism: Hemicordylus capensis (graceful crag lizard)
Lineage: Eukaryota; Metazoa; Chordata; Lepidosauria; Squamata; Cordylidae
Gene name: C-type lectin domain family 2 member D-like
Exons: 9
Source: RefSeq, a predicted model, not a curated record